RNAcentral lists this long non-coding RNA (291 nucleotides) under Gossypium barbadense (sea-island cotton). Its description in RNAcentral is "long non-coding RNA (GBAR_LNC010823)". Lineage: Eukaryota; Viridiplantae; Streptophyta; Magnoliopsida; Malvales; Malvaceae. The record is from RNAcentral.
AAAUUAUUAAAGUCCAUUUACAACAUCAAAAGUCCAAAUAGCCCAAAUUUCACCAAACCCAUUAUAUCAGCCCAAACCACAAUUAAACAGACACAAGCCCAUAUCAAACCCAAACCCCUAACCCAAUUCCUACAGGCCCAAAAUGCCCAAUAGCCUAAAACAAUUCAGAAACCCUAGGGUUUCUGAAUCACCUUCGCACCGUACCCCCUCCAUGUGCGCCCUCAGCGCGCACACCGCCUAAGACGGUCCUGCCUGUUACCUUGCACCAAAAUGGUAAAACAUGCCUUCGUU